This 373-nucleotide ribosomal RNA is filed under the name uncultured bacterium. Its description in RNAcentral is "bacterial SSU rRNA". It matches the Rfam family "Bacterial small subunit ribosomal RNA", at positions 525 to 896 of the family's 1533-position model. The record is from RNAcentral.
ACGUAGGAUUCAAGCGUUAUCCGAAUUUACUGGGCGUAAAGCGCGUGCAGGUGGUUUGGUAAGUUGGAUGUGAAAGCUCCUGGCUCAACUGGGAGAGGCUGUUCAAAACUACCAGACUAGAGGACGGUAGAGGGAGGUGGAAUUCCCGGUGUAGUAGUGAAAUGCGUAGAUAUCGGGAGGAACACCAGUGGCGAAGGCGGCCUCCUGGACCGUUCCUGACGCUCAGACGCGAAAGCUAGGGGAGCGAACGGGAUUAGAAACCCCGGUAGUCCUAGCUGUAAACGAUGUAGACUUGGUGUCGGUGGGGUAAAAGCCAUCGGUGCCGAAGCUAACGCGAUAAGUCUACCGCCUGGGGACUACGGCCGCAAGGUUA